CACCAAUCAAGCCUAGCUUGGUAUUGGGUGUCGCGGGGUCCCCGCGCGCCUCAAAGUCUCUCCGGCUGAGCGGCUCGUCUCUAAGCGUUGUGGCAACUAUUCGCGACGGGACAGGCGGCGUGGCCGUUAAAUCUUUAUUCAA
RNAcentral lists this unclassified non-coding RNA (142 nucleotides) under uncultured Zasmidium. RNAcentral describes it as "sequence contains ITS2". The record is from RNAcentral. Lineage: Eukaryota; Fungi; Ascomycota; Dothideomycetes; Mycosphaerellales; Mycosphaerellaceae.